CAGUAGCCGCGGUAAUACGUAGGUCCCGAGCGCUGUCCGGAUUUAUUGGGCGUAAAGGGAGCGCAGGCGGUUUAGUAAGUCUGAAGUUAAAGGCAUUGGCUCAACCAAUGUAUGCUUUGGAAACUGUUAGACUUGAGUGCAGAAGGGGAGAGUGGAAUUCCAUGUGUAGCGGUGAAAUGCGUAGAUAUAUGGAGGAACACCGGUGGCGAAAGCGGCUCUCUGGUCUGUCACUGACGCUGAGGGGCGAAAGCGUGGGGAGCGAACAGGAUUAGAUACCCCAGUAGUCCCUGUCUCUUAUACA
RNAcentral lists this ribosomal RNA (301 nucleotides) under uncultured bacterium. RNAcentral describes it as "partial 16S ribosomal RNA". It matches the Rfam family "Bacterial small subunit ribosomal RNA", at positions 509 to 808 of the family's 1533-position model. The record is from RNAcentral.